UAGAGUUUGAUCCUGGCUCAGGAUGAACGCUGGCGGCGUGCCUAAUACAUGCAAGUCGAACGAAUCUCUUUUAGAGAUGAGUGGCGAACGGGUGAGUAAUACAUAGGUAACCUGCCCCUGUGCGGGGGAUAACAGGAGGAAACUCCUGCUAAUACCGCAUAGCCAUGAGCACCGCAUGGAGCUCAUGCCAAAUAUCCUUUCGGGGAUAGCGCAGGGAUGGACCUAUGGCGCAUUAGCUGGUUGGCGGGGCAACGGCCCACCAAGGCAACGAUGCGUAGCCGGCCUGAGAGGGCGGACGGCCACAUUGGGACUGAGACACGGCCCAGACUCCUACGGGAGGCAGCAGUAGGGAAUUUUCGGCAAUGGGGGAAACCCUGACCGAGCAACGCCGCGUGAGCGAAGAAGGCCUUCGGGUCGUAAAGCUCUGUUGUAAAGGAAGAACGGCGCAUACAGGAAAUGGUAUGCGAGUGACGGUACUUUACCAGAAAGCCACGGCUAACUACGUGCCAGCAGCCGCGGUAAUACGUAGGUGGCGAGCGUUAUCCGGAAUCAUUGGGCGUAAAGAGGGAGCAGGCGGCCGCAAGGGUCUGUGGUGAAAGACCGAAGCUAAACUUCGGUAAGCCAUGGAAACCGGGCGGCUAGAGUGCGGAAGAGGAUCGUGGAAUUCCAUGUGUAGCGGUGAAAUGCGUAGAUAUAUGGAGGAACACCAGUGGCGAAGGCGACGGUCUGGGCCGCAACUGACGCUCAUUCCCGAAAGCGUGGGGAGCAAAUAGGAUUAGAUACCCUAGUAGUCCACGCCGUAAACGAUGGUCACUAAGUGUCGGGGGUCAAACCCCGGUGCUGCAGUCAACGCAAUAAGUGACCCGCCUGAGUAGUACGUUCGCAAGAA
This 889-nucleotide ribosomal RNA is filed under the name uncultured bacterium. RNAcentral's name for it is "bacterial SSU rRNA". It matches the Rfam family "Bacterial small subunit ribosomal RNA", at positions 1 to 894 of the family's 1533-position model. The record is from RNAcentral.